This 555-nucleotide ribosomal RNA is filed under the name uncultured bacterium. Its description in RNAcentral is "partial 16S ribosomal RNA". It matches the Rfam family "Bacterial small subunit ribosomal RNA", at positions 355 to 925 of the family's 1533-position model. The record is from RNAcentral.
UGGGGAAUAUUGGACAAUGGGCGCAAGCCUGAUCCAGCCAUGCCGCGUGAGUGAUGAAGGCCUUAGGGUUGUAAAGCUCUUUCGCCGGUGAAGAUAAUGACGGUAACCGGAGAAGAAGCCCCGGCUAACUUCGUGCCAGCAGCCGCGGUAAUACGAAGGGGGCUAGCGUUGCUCGGAAUCACUGGGCGUAAAGCGCACGUAGGCGGAUCGUUAAGUCAGGGGUGAAAUCCUGGAGCUCAACUCCAGAACUGCCCUUGAUACUGGCGAUCUCGAGUUCGAGAGAGGUUGGUGGAACUCCGAGUGUAGAGGUGAAAUUCGUAGAUAUUCGGAAGAACACCAGUGGCGAAGGCGGCCAACUGGCUCGAUACUGACGCUGAGGUGCGAAAGCGUGGGGAGCAAAACAGGAUUAGAUACCCUGGUAGUCCACGCCGUAAAACGAUGGAUGCUAGCCGUUGGGGGGUUUACCUCUCAGUGGCGCAGCUAACGCCUUAAGCAUCCCGCCUGGGGAGUACGGUCGCAAGAUUAAAAACUUAAAGGAAUUGACGGGGUCAUAGC